CGGGACACGUGGUAUCCUGUCUGAAUAUGGGGGGACCAUCCUCCAAGGCUAAAUACUCCUGACUGACCGAUAGUGAACCAGUACCGUGAGGGAAAGGCGAAAAGAACCCCGGCGAGGGGAGUGAAAAAGAACCUGAAACCGUGUACGUACAAGCAGUGGGAGCACGCUUCGGCGUGUGACUGCGUACCUUUUGUAUAAUGGGUCAGCGACUUAUAUUCUGUAGCAAGGUUAACCGAAUAGGGGAGCCGAAGGGAAACCGAGUCUUAACUGGGCGUUAAGUUGCAGGGUAUAGACCCGAAACCCGGUGAUCUAGCCAUGGGCAGGUUGAAGGUUGGGUAACACUAACUGGAGGACCGAACCGACUAAUGUUGAAAAAUUAGCGGAUGACUUGUGGCUGGGGGUGAAAGGCCAAUCAAACCGGGAGAUAGCUGGUUCUCCCCGAAAGCUAUUUAGGUAGCGCCUCGUGAAUUCAUCUCCGGGGGUAGAGCACUGUUUCGGCAAGGGGGUCAUCCCGACUUACCAACCCGAUGCAAACUGCGAAUACCGGAGAAUGUUAUCACGGGAGACACACGGCGGGUGCUAACGUCCGUCGUGAAGAGGGAAACAACCCAGACCGCCAGCUAAGGUCCCAAAGUCAUGGUUAAGUGGGAAACGAUGUGGGAAGGCCCAGACAGCCAGGAUGUUGGCUUAGAAGCAGCCAUCAUUUAAAGAAAGCGUAAUAGCUCACUGGUCGAGUCGGCCUGCGCGGAAGAUGUAACGGGGCUAAACCAUGCACCGAAGCUGCGGCAGCGACACUAUGUGUUGUUGGGUAGGGGAGCGUUCUGUAAGCCUGCGAAGGUGUACUGUGAGGUAUGCUGGAGGUAUCAGAAGUGCGAAUGCUGACAUAAGUAACGAUAAAGCGGGUGAAAAGCCCGCUCGCCGGAAGACCAAGGGUUCCUGUCCAACGUUAAUCGGGGCAGGGUGAGUCGACCCCUAAGGCGAGGCCGAAAGGCGUAGUCGAUGGGAAACAGGUUAAUAUUCCUGUACUUGGUGUUACUGCGAAGGGGGGACGGAGAAGGCUAUGUUGGCCGGGCGACGGUUGUCCCGGUUUAAGCGUGUAGGCUGGUUUUCCAGGCAAAUCCGGAAAAUCAAGGCUGAGGCGUGAUGACGAGGCACUACGGUGCUGAAGCAACAAAUGCCCUGCUUCCAGGAAAAGCCUCUAAGCAUCAGGUAACAUCAAAUCGUACCCCAAACCGACACAGGUGGUCAGGUAGAGAAUACCAAGGCGCUUGAGAGAACUCGGGUGAAGGAACUAGGCAAAAUGGUGCCGUAACUUCGGGAGAAGGCACGCUGAUAUGUAGGUGAAGCGACUUGCUCGUGGAGCUGAAAUCAGUCGAAGAUACCAGCUGGCUGCAACUGUUUAUUAAAAACACAGCACUGUGCAAACACGAAAGUGGACGUAUACGGUGUGACGCCUGCCCGGUGC
Molecule: ribosomal RNA, 1465 nt
Filed under: Escherichia coli
Lineage: Bacteria; Pseudomonadati; Pseudomonadota; Gammaproteobacteria; Enterobacterales; Enterobacteriaceae
Description: partial 23S ribosomal RNA
Rfam family: Bacterial large subunit ribosomal RNA
Source: RNAcentral